Molecule: ribosomal RNA, 443 nt
Filed under: Staphylococcus aureus
Lineage: Bacteria; Bacillati; Bacillota; Bacilli; Caryophanales; Staphylococcaceae
Description: partial 23S ribosomal RNA
Rfam family: Bacterial large subunit ribosomal RNA
Source: RNAcentral
CUCAACGGAUAAAAGCUACCCCGGGGAUAACAGGCUUAUCUCCCCCAAGAGUUCACAUCGACGGGGAGGUUUGGCACCUCGAUGUCGGCUCAUCGCAUCCUGGGGCUGUAGUCGGUCCCAAGGGUUGGGCUGUUCGCCCAUUAAAGCGGUACGCGAGCUGGGUUCAGAACGUCGUGAGACAGUUCGGUCCCUAUCCGUCGUGGGCGUAGGAAAUUUGAGAGGAGCUGUCCUUAGUACGAGAGGACCGGGAUGGACAUACCUCUGGUGUACCAGUUGUCGUGCCAACGGCAUAGCUGGGUAGCUAUGUGUGGACGGGAUAAGUGCUGAAAGCAUCUAAGCAUGAAGCCCCCCUCAAGAUGAGAUUUCCCAACUUCGGUUAUAAGAUCCCUCAAAGAUGAUGAGGUUAAUAGGUUCGAGGUGGAAGCAUGGUGACAUGUGGAGCU